AUAAAUAACAAGCUGCGGCUAUCACUUGCACCACUCAAUAUAAUAUAUACUUCUCAUUACAUCUCUCCCGCGUUGCAAAAAGAGACCCUGGCUUGCCCACAAAAGCCUACAACCUAUACUAAUCUGUAAAAGUCUGGUACAGGGACCAAGCAAAAGCUGAAAAAAGUUAAAACAAAGACACGGGCAUGUAGUAUCAAUAGUAAUAAACCGCAUUACGUGAUAAUAAAAUGGUAAGUUCGCCACCUUGUAACACCAUGCACCA
This 262-nucleotide long non-coding RNA is filed under the name Elaeis guineensis (African oil palm). Its description in RNAcentral is "long non-coding RNA (EGUI_LNC010129)". Lineage: Eukaryota; Viridiplantae; Streptophyta; Magnoliopsida; Arecales; Arecaceae. The record is from RNAcentral.